AUACGUAGGUGGGCAAGCGCUAUCCGGAUUUACUGGGUGUAAAGGGCGCGUAGGCGGGAAUGCAAGUCAGAUGUGAAAUCUCCGGGCUUAACCCGGAAACUGCAUUUGAAACUGCAUUUCUUGAGUGUCGGAGAGGUAGAUGGAAUUCCUAGUGUAGCGGUGAAAUGCGUAGAUAUUAGGAGGAACACCAGUGGCGAAGGCGAUCUACUGGACGAUAACUGACGCUGAGGCGCGAAAGCGUGGGGAGC
RNAcentral lists this ribosomal RNA (248 nucleotides) under uncultured bacterium. RNAcentral's name for it is "partial 16S ribosomal RNA". It matches the Rfam family "Bacterial small subunit ribosomal RNA", at positions 523 to 769 of the family's 1533-position model. The record is from RNAcentral.